RNAcentral lists this ribosomal RNA (429 nucleotides) under Chloroflexota bacterium. RNAcentral's name for it is "Chloroflexi bacterium partial 16S ribosomal RNA". It matches the Rfam family "Bacterial small subunit ribosomal RNA", at positions 355 to 776 of the family's 1533-position model. Lineage: Bacteria; Bacillati; Chloroflexota. The record is from RNAcentral.
UAGGGAAUCUUCGGCAAUGGACGAAAGUCUGACCGAGCAACGCCGCGUGAGUGAAGAAGGUUUUCGGAUCGUAAAACUCUGUUGUUAGAGAAGAACAAGGACGUUAGUAACUGAACGUCCCCUGACGGUAUCUAACCAGAAAGCCACGGCUAACUACGUGCCAGCAGCCGCGGUAAUACGUAGGUGGCAAGCGUUGUCCGGAUUUAUUGGGCGUAAAGCGAGCGCAGGCGGUUUCUUAAGUCUGAUGUGAAAGCCCCCGGCUCAACCGGGGAGGGUCAUUGGAAACUGGGAGACUUGAGUGCAGAAGAGGAGAGUGGAAUUCCAAGUGUAGCGAUGAAAUGCGUAGAUAUAUGGAGGAAAACCAGUGGCGAAGGCGGCUCUCUGGUCUGUAACUGACGCUGAGGCUCGAAAGAGUGGGGAGCAAACAGG